Molecule: ribosomal RNA, 1264 nt
Filed under: Acanthobothrium coronatum
Lineage: Eukaryota; Metazoa; Platyhelminthes; Cestoda; Tetraphyllidea; Onchobothriidae
Description: partial large subunit ribosomal RNA
Source: RNAcentral
GUGAAGAGGGAAAAGCCCAGCACCGAAGCCUGCGGCAGUUUUGCUGUUAGGCAAUGUGGUGUUUGGGUCGGCUCGUGGGAUUGCCACUCCACUCGAAGUCCAGCAUUGAGUAUGGUCACUGGAUUUGGCCCAGAGAGGGUGAAAGGCCCGUACGGGUGGAGGUUCAGAAAUGAAAGGCAGUUCACCAGGCCGGCCUUAGAGUCGGGUUGUUUGAGAAUGCAGCCCAAAGUGGGUGGUAAACUCCAUCCAAGGCUAAAUACAAGCACGAGUCCGAUAGCGAACAAGUACCGUGAGGGAAAGUUGAAAAGUACUCUGAAGAGAGAGUAAACAGUACGUGAAACCGCAUGCAGGUAAACGGGUGGCGUCAAGCUGCAAGCUCAGGGGAUUCAGCCGGCUAGGUUGUUGUGUAUGCGCCUGGCGCAUCCAUCAGUCAGAGUAUGAUUGGAUAGUCCACUGGUAAACGGUGGGCCCGGCCGCAAGGCUGGGAUGUGUGUACCGGGUGUGUGCCGGAGCAUGCUAUCCGUCUAUGGACUGUCUAGCCGGUGCACUUUCUCUGUGCUGACACCACGACCGGUGGUAUUGCCAGUCUGCUGUGUCCAAGUCGUGUUCGGUCGGUCCUUGUGGCCAACUGGAUGCGAUCACAGGCAAACUCAGUAUACGGCGUAGGGGGGCUUCGGCUCUUCUGCGUGUUAUCGGCUACUGGUUGUCAACGGGCUGCCUAGUGUUUGUUGUACCGGCACUUGGGUAGUCUGGUGGGGCAUGGUGGUAAGAAUAACUGUGCAAGGCACCGGGUUUAACGGCCUCAAAUGCACUCUGCGCCCGCGUACAAGCGGUUUAUGGCGGUGCUGUUGCUGCCUGCUCGUGGUUGGGUCUGACWGUCGUGUCGCCUGCGAAAAGUGGGCCCGGCAGUGGCUCGACCCGAGGUGGGUAGUGGAUGGUGCUGUCUGUGUGGAGUGUGGUGGGCCUAAUAGUCUGUGGUGUAGUGGUAGACGAGCUACCCGACCCGUCUUGAAACACGGACCAAGGAGUUCAACAUGUAUGCGAGUCAAUGGGCGUUACGAAACCCAAAGGCGCAGUGAAAGUGAAGCUCCGACUUGUCUCGGGGUGAGGUGAGAUCCUGCUGUUACUCGCAUCAGCCUAAUGCCAGCAUCAGGCUAAGAGCAGUGGGCGCAUCACCGGCCCGUCCCAUGAUGUGGUCAUUGGAUGUCUGCGGUUGUUGCUUCGGCGGCGGCCGUGGUGCCAGUGCGUCAUCGGGGCGGAGCAU